This is a long non-coding RNA of Cydia splendana, 373 nucleotides long. RefSeq lists it as uncharacterized. Lineage: Eukaryota; Metazoa; Arthropoda; Insecta; Lepidoptera; Tortricidae. The transcript is spliced from 3 exons. The record is from RefSeq and is a predicted model, not a curated record.
CUUCUACCUUAUUUCUUUUACAAUAAUUUAAAUUUCAGCUGCAAACCAGAUUCAGAUCAGAUCUUCACAUGCCAGAGUACCUCUGUCAACAUCAAACAGUGAAAAUGCACAAACUUCAGCUACUGCAUCUACGAGUACAGGCCAAGCUUGUCUGAAAUCUGGAAUAAGCAUUCGACCGGAUAAAGCGGCAAUACCAGCGAAACGCCCCCGCUUUGCUGACAAACAACCUGGCGGAUCUAGGGAUUCUCUAGUUCAGCGGUCGGCAACAAGCGGCCCGCGAGCCCCCCUGGCUAUUUUGUAUGUAAUAUUGUCAAACAACAAUGUCUGAUUAAAGUCACACAUAUUAACAAAAGUGCGGCCCGCGUCAACUUCC